RNAcentral lists this ribosomal RNA (422 nucleotides) under uncultured bacterium. Its description in RNAcentral is "bacterial SSU rRNA". It matches the Rfam family "Bacterial small subunit ribosomal RNA", at positions 355 to 774 of the family's 1533-position model. The record is from RNAcentral.
UAAGGAAUACUGGACAAUGGAGGCAACUCUGAUCCAGCCAUGCCGCGUGAAGGAAUAAGGCCCUAUGGGUUGUAAACUUCUUUUAGACGGGACAAAACCCCUUUACGUGUAAAGGGUUGAUGGUACUGUCAGAAUAAGCAUCGGCUAACUUCGUGCCAGCAGCCGCGGUAAUACGAAGGAUGCAAGCGUUAUCCGGAAUUAUUGGGUUUAAAGGGUGCGUAGGCGGACUAAUAAGUCAGUGGUGAAAGCCUGCAGCUUAACUGCAGAAUUGCCAUUGAUACUGUUAGUCUUGAGUACAGUUGAGGUAGGCGGAAUGUGUCAUGUAGCGGUGAAAUGCUUAGAUAUGACACAGAACACCGAUUGCGAAGGCAGCUUGCUAAGCUGUAACUGACGCUGAGGCACGAAAGCGUGGGGAGCAAACA